CAUCGUGGAAAACGAUCGAGAUUGGCAGUCUCAUGAACCUAACAUAUUUCUAACAUGUAUCGUUGAUUAUGUGAACUUUUGAAUCGCCUUCGCACGAACGAAACGAGUGUGCCUCGUUGGCCGAAUAAUCUCGAGGACAAAGGGAAGACCAAACCAUUCAACCUAAGAAGGAUUUCCGGCCGUGAGAUUCGCCGAGAGACGAUGGGGAGCAAAUUGAAUCGCAAAUAUGGAUUCAACGAGAGAUGCCGAGAACGCGCCGGCAGGGGCCUUGAGAGGGAAGAAAAUGACAGAUGUGAGGACAAAUAAAUCAAUAGCGUUCAAGCAGGGCGGCGGGCAUCGCUGAUACUUGACGGCGGUACGAGAUUCGAUAAAUACGAAAGAAGAACGCUCUCAAGUAGUCUAAAGCGUUCGACGCGGCUCUUUAGUGAAUGUUGGAUGGACUCGAGCUCUUUCGUAAUGCACGAUCGGUAGGCGAGGUCUUCCGGUCACGUCCCAAGUUCGUAGUUGAAGAAUAAGUU
Molecule: long non-coding RNA, 518 nt
Organism: Pogonomyrmex barbatus (red harvester ant)
Lineage: Eukaryota; Metazoa; Arthropoda; Insecta; Hymenoptera; Formicidae
Source: RefSeq, a predicted model, not a curated record